UGGGGAAUUUUGGACAAUGGGCGAAAGCCUGAUCCAGCAAUGCCGCGUGUGUGAAGAAGGCCUUCGGGUUGUAAAGCACUUUUGUCCGGAAAGAAAUCCUCUGGGUUAAUACCUCGGGGGGAUGACGGUACCGGAAGAAUGAGCACCGGCUAACUACGUGCCAGCAGCCGCGGUAAUACGUAGGGUGCAAGCGUUAAUCGGAAUUACUGGGCGUAAAGCGUGCGCAGGCGGUUUUGUAAGACGGAUGUGAAAUCCCCGGGCUUAACCUGGGAACUGCAUUCGUGACUGCAAGGCUAGAGUAUGGCAGAGGGGGGUAGAAUUCCACGUGUAGCAGUGAAAUGCGUAGAGAUGUGGAGGAAUACCGAUGGCGAAGGCAGCCCCCUGGGCCAAUACUGACGCUCAUGCACGAAAGCGUGGGGAGCAAACAGGAUUAGAUACCCUGGUAGUCCACGCCCUAAAACGAUGUCAACUAGUUGUUGGGGAUUCAUUUCCUUAGUAACGUAGCUAACGCGUGAAGUUGACCGCCUGGGGAGUACGGUCGCAAGAUUAAAACUCAAAGGAAUUGAC
This 567-nucleotide ribosomal RNA is filed under the name uncultured bacterium. Its description in RNAcentral is "partial 16S ribosomal RNA". It matches the Rfam family "Bacterial small subunit ribosomal RNA", at positions 355 to 914 of the family's 1533-position model. The record is from RNAcentral.